This 106-nucleotide unclassified non-coding RNA is filed under the name soil metagenome. RNAcentral's name for it is "partial internal transcribed spacer 1". The record is from RNAcentral.
GUGAACGCCCUCACGGGCUUAUACUAUUCCAAACCUCUGUGAACCGUGCCCUUCGGGGCUAUUUUACAAACAUGGUGUAACGAACGUCAUAUAUCAUAACAAAACA